This 285-nucleotide long non-coding RNA is filed under the name Manihot esculenta (cassava). RNAcentral's name for it is "long non-coding RNA (MESC_LNC007878)". The record is from RNAcentral. Lineage: Eukaryota; Viridiplantae; Streptophyta; Magnoliopsida; Malpighiales; Euphorbiaceae.
AAACUCAGGUUCGGCCGCCGAACCUCAAGUUCGGCCGCCGAACAUGCAUGCCUUCGGGAGCGCCUUUAGGCCCCCGAAAGCAUAAGUGAGGAAAGUCCAGGUUCGGCCGCCGAACCUCAAGUUCGGCCGCCGAACAUGACAUGCAUGCGGAGGCACGUUCGGCCCCCAAACGUGGCCUACCCAGCCACUAUAAAAGGGUCCCUUAGCCGAAAAUGGGCGAGCUUUUUCCCCAUUUCCGGCCAAGGUGAGUUCUCCGCCACCCCUUACCGAUCUUGAGUCUUUUCC